RNAcentral lists this ribosomal RNA (506 nucleotides) under uncultured bacterium. RNAcentral describes it as "partial 16S ribosomal RNA". It matches the Rfam family "Bacterial small subunit ribosomal RNA", at positions 29 to 523 of the family's 1533-position model. The record is from RNAcentral.
AGUGAACGCUGGCGGCGUGCUUAACACAUGCAAGUCGAGGGGUAACGAGAGGGAAGCUUGCUUUCCUUGUCGACGACCGGCGCACGGGUGAGUAACGCGUAUCCAACCUGCCCCCAACUAAGGAAUAACCUUGCGAAAGUAAGACUAAUACCUUAUAAUUUCCUCAGAUGACAUCUGACGAGGAAUAAAGAUUUAUCGGUUGUGGAUGGGGAUGCGUCUGAUUAGCUUGUUGGCGGGGUAACGGCCCACCAAGGCAACGAUCAGUAGGGGUUCUGAGAGGAAGGUCCCCCACAUUGGAACUGAGACACGGUCCAAACUCCUACGGGAGGCAGCAGUGAGGAAUAUCGGUCAAUGGGCGGAAGCCUGAACCAGCCAAGUAGCGUGCAGGAUGACGGCCCUAUGGGUUGUAAACUGCUUUUAUACAGGAAUAAAGUUAGCCACGUGUGGUUAUUUGUAGGUACUGUAUGAAUAAGGACCGGCUAAUUCCGUGCCAGCCGCCGCUGUAA